RNAcentral lists this long non-coding RNA (439 nucleotides) under Capra hircus (goat). RNAcentral's name for it is "lncRNA (ENSCHIG00000001590.1)". Lineage: Eukaryota; Metazoa; Chordata; Mammalia; Artiodactyla; Bovidae. The record is from RNAcentral.
GGAGAGUACCAAGCUUGUCCCCUGACCGUCCAUCCUCUCUAACUACCUGCCCCAGUAACCAGCAGCUAGGGAGCAGACGUGCCUCCUCAGGGGAAUGGGGGGAUGUGUUCCAGCCAAGAGAGGCAGAGGAGAGAUGGGUCUCUGUCACCACCGUUCUGAGAUUCCCCCAUGAACUGAUGGAUGUAGGAGGCGGCUGUCACCGGCCAAGGCGUCAUGGAAACGGACAAGCGCCAUGCAGCUUUGGAUGGACAGACACCCUACGCUGAUGCCAGUUCACAAGAGACACAGAAAAGAGCAGAGUUGGAUGUCCACGUGGCAUGGUGGGUGCUUCUUUGGAGAGAAAGAUCUGGAAGGACUGCACAGGAUGCUGGCCCCCUCUGAGAAGCAGCAUUUUGUGUGUGUGCAGAGCAACCGAGUCACCACCUGGUCACCUCCGUGA